Molecule: ribosomal RNA, 270 nt
Filed under: uncultured archaeon
Lineage: Archaea
Description: partial 16S ribosomal RNA
Rfam family: Archaeal small subunit ribosomal RNA
Source: RNAcentral
CAGCACCUCAAGUGGUCAGGAUGAUUAUUGGGCCUAAAGCAUCCGUAGCCGGCGCUGUAAGUUUUCGGUUAAAUCUGUACGCUCAACGUACAGGCUGCCGGGAAUACUGCAGCGCUAGGGAGUGGGAGAGGUAGACGGUACUCGGUAGGAAGGGGUAAAAUCCUUUGAUCUAUUGAUGACCACCUGUGGCGAAGGCGGUCUACCAGAACACGUCCGACUGUGAGGGAUGAAAGCUGGGGGAGCAAACCGGAUUAGAUACCCGAGUAGUCC